UAUCUGGGUGAGCAGGCAGCGGACAAGUGACGUCUCCCGGCCUGCUGCCCCAGGCCCCCCACAAGCCGCGUUCUGGGGCCGUGGCCUCCCCAGAGCAGAUCAGUGGGGGCUGUGUGAGCAACACUGGGGGCAGCUGGGCAGCGCCUCCCUGGAGGCCCCUCUGAAAUCCCGCCGGAUGCUGGCAGGCUCCAAGGGGGCUGGACACCAUCUUCUCACCAUGGCCUCUGUGCUCCGGAUGAUGCCGGGGCUGCCAGGGACCACAGAGCCACCCACUGGGAGGCUGGGGGUUGGCCUGGCUCAGGGGCGUUCGUCAGCCAUAGACACCCACAGCAUGUGGUGGGCAGGGCUGGGAGGUGACACAGGAACUGAAAAACCUGAGAAGCUCCAGCCACUCCGCAGGGGCCCUGCAGGGAAGCGUGGAAAGGCGGCACAGGGCUGGACCCAGAGGAGCUCUCAGAUGCUGGACUGGACUGUUUCAGGGGUCAUCUAGCCCAUUCCCCGCCUCCAGGCGAGGAUUUGCUUGAGCCUGGAAAGAUGAAGGAUCCUCCCAGUGCCGUCAAGCCCCGGAUUCCACCUCCCUGUAGGUGGACUGCCAGCGCAGGCCCUGACAACGCAGAGAAAGACACAGGACCCAGCUGGGCCAGUGACAGCAGGAGCUCCUGGUGCCACAGGAAUGGAAACUGUGACUCAUAAUAGCCAGCUAGUCAAUGAUUAUUCCCCCCAGUCCCUGGCGCAUCAAGAUUUGCUGAAAAAGUUGCUUCAGUCCCUGGCUCACUUGGUCCUGGUGCUCAAUGGUGCCCAGACUGGAGUACAGUGGCGUGAUCUCGGCUCGCUACAACCUCCACCUCCCAGCCACCUGCCUUGGCCUCCCAAAGUGCCGAGAUUGCAGCUUCUGCCUGGCUGCCACCCCGUCUGGGAAGUGAGGAGCGUCUCUGCCUGGCCGCCCAUCGUCUGGGAUGUGAGGAGCCCCUCUGCCUGGCUGCCCAGUCUGGGAAGUGAGGAGCGUCUCUGCCCAGCCGCCAUCCCAUCUAGGAAGGGAGGAGCGUCUCUGCCCAGCUGCCCAUCGUCUGAGAUGUGGGGAGCGCCUCUGCCCCGCCGCCCCGUCUGGGAUGUGAGGAGCGCCUCUGCCCGGCCGCGACCCUGUCUGGGAGGUGAGGAGCGUCUCCACCUGGCAGCCACCCCGUCCGGGAGGGAGGUGGGGGUCAGCCCCCACCAGGCCAGCCGCCCCGUCCGGGAGGGAGGUGGGGGGGUCAGCCCCCCGCCCGGCCAGCCGCCCCGUCUGGGAGGGAGGUGGGGGGGUCAGCCCCCCACCCGGCCAGCCGCCCCGUCCGGGAGGUGAGGGGCGCCUCUGCCCGGCCGCCCCUACUGGGAAGUGAGGAGCCCCUCUGCCCGGCCAGCCGCCCUGUCCGGGAGGGAGGUUGGGGUGGGGGGGUCAGCCCUCCGCCCGGCCUGCCGCCCCGUCCGGGAGGUGAGGGGCGCCUCUGCCCGGCCACCCCUACUGGGAAGUGAGGAGCCCCUCUGCCCGGCCACCACCCCGUCUGGGAGGUGUGCCCAGCGGCUCAUUGAGAACGGGCCAUGAUGACAGUGGCGGUUUUGUGGAAUAGAAAGGGGGAAAAGGUGGGGAAAAGAUUGAGAAAUCAGAUGGUUGCCGUGUCUGUCUAGAAAGAAGUAGACAUGGGAGACUUUUCAUUUUGUUCUGUACUAAGAAAAAUUCUUCUGCCUUGGGAUCCUGUUGAUCUGUGACCUUACCCCCAACCCUGUGCUCUCUGAAACAUGUGCUGUAUCCACUCAGGGUUGAAUGGAUUAAGGGCGGUGCAAGAUGUGCUUUGUUAGACAGAUGCUUGAAGGCAGCAUGCUCGUUAAGAGUCAUCACCACUCCCUAAUCUCAAGUACCCAGGGACACAAACACUGCGGAAGGCCGCAGGGUCCUCUGCCUAGGAAAACCAGAGACCUUUGUUCACUUGUUUAUCUGCUGACCUUCCCUCCACUAUUGUCCUAUGACCCUGCCAAAUCCCCCUCUGCGAGAAACACCCAAGAAUGAUCAAUAAAAAAU
This 2053-nucleotide long non-coding RNA is filed under the name Homo sapiens (human). Its description in RNAcentral is "long non-coding RNA NONHSAT196732.1". Lineage: Eukaryota; Metazoa; Chordata; Mammalia; Primates; Hominidae. The record is from RNAcentral.